GGGUCAGUAGCUCAAUUGGUAGAGCAGCGGUCUCCAAAACCGCAGGUUGGGGGUUCGAUCCCCUCCUGACCUGCCA
This 76-nucleotide transfer RNA is filed under the name Gammaproteobacteria bacterium. RNAcentral describes it as "tRNA-Trp". It matches the Rfam family "tRNA". Rfam says of the family: Transfer RNA (tRNA) molecules are approximately 80 nucleotides in length. Their secondary structure includes four short double-helical elements and three loops (D, anti-codon, and T loops). Lineage: Bacteria; Pseudomonadati; Pseudomonadota; Gammaproteobacteria. The record is from RNAcentral.